GACUACGUGGCGCAACUGACAAGCGCGUCCGACUCCAGAUCGGAAGGUUGCGGGUUCGAAUCCCGUCGUAGCCCA
Molecule: non-coding RNA, 75 nt
Organism: Mytilus trossulus (common blue mussel)
Lineage: Eukaryota; Metazoa; Mollusca; Bivalvia; Mytilida; Mytilidae
Source: the annotation of a RefSeq genome assembly